Molecule: ribosomal RNA, 197 nt
Filed under: uncultured bacterium
Lineage: Bacteria
Description: partial 16S ribosomal RNA
Rfam family: Bacterial small subunit ribosomal RNA
Source: RNAcentral
ACGCUCGACACCUACGGGGCAGCAGUGGGGAAUAUUGCACAAUGGGGGAAACCCUGAUGCAGCGACGCCGCGUGAGCGAAGAAGUAUUUCGGUAUGUAAAGCUCUAUCAGCAGGGAAGAAGAAAGACGGUACCUGACUAAGAAGCCCCGGCUAACUACGUGCCAGCAGUCGCGGUAAUCUGAGCGGGCUGGCAAGGC